UGCUAUUGUAAAUCAGAUUCCUAAUAAUGUACUAACAAAUUCUUGCGCAACUCGCAUAUAAGAACUUUAUGAUAAUUUUGAACAGUUUUCAACUUAUAGAAUCCAAUUAUGAUACGUUUUAAUUUUUAUGGCACCUUUAUCGAGAUUAACUGGUUAUCGUAUACUAAUAUAUGCUUUAGGAAUACUUUCAUUUUUUUGCCAGAUGGAUUUUUUAUUUUAGGUUUUUCUUUUUGCUUAUUGAAUAGUUCAUAACUAUCAUGUCUAUGGUAGUUGAUUAUAAGUAAUUAAAAUAUGCAAAUUUUGAGCACUCUUAUCGAAUUCACAUUAAAAUCAUUUUCUUUGGAACAUGUAUAGCGUUAACUAGUCACCGGAUAUUUAAAGUGUGCCUAUGCUGCAACUGUUCAUUGUCUCUGUGAAACCCAAACAAAUUGAUGAUAGAUACUAAUAUUCAAACAGAUUUCAUACGAUUUUACCUAACUAACUAGUUCAACUUGGUUAAAUAUCUUCAAAAGGACCAGCUCCUCCUAUAUCACAUUCCACUUUAUGUAUUUUUUUAGUACUCAUUCAAUUAAUUUGAAGGAAGUUUAUAAAAUUGAGCUUAAAUUCUUUAAGCAUUUUUUAUUAGUAGGUCGAUUGCUCGUGAGUACUCUUUGAAUCUCAACGUUGUGAUUAAGAAGUAAAAAGAAAUAAAGGAUUAUUUUUCGCUUAUUUAAACCUUUUUUAAUUAAGCAUAAUUACUUUCAUUAUUAAAGCUAUAAAAAACAAAUAAAUCAACUUUUAAAUCUAAUUACCCACACUACUACAAUAAAUUAUCGAUUACAUCCUGGAAGAGAAUAAAAAGUUCAUUAACUAUAACUCAUUGAUCGUGAAAACAUAACAAUUAAGGCCAUUUCUCCAUCAUGUCACGAAGUUUAUCAAUGGGUGCAGCAAAAAGUCCUGCGACGGUUUCGAAGGGAGGUUUAUUUGGAGCAGAAGGAUGGCUAUGCGUAGGAACAAACUUCUUUGUUCUUUCAAAAGAAGAUGCCAUAUGUAAUGACUCUUCUUCGCUAAGAUGCUUUUCCAAAAAGGGAAUAUCAUGUUGCUCCUCCUCGUCAAUAUGUUUCUGAAGAGAUUCCAUUAGCUCAUCCAAAGCGGGAAUAAAAUUACUCUGGUUAGCCUUCAUUGAUUGAAAUUUAUAUAGCAUUUCCUUAACUAAUUGGUGUUCGUGUCUGUCUUUCUCCGCCAUUUCUUUCCCUUCCUCGCCAAGGUACUUUUCGAACUUGGGAUAAACAACAAUUUCCUCUCCGACCGAAUGUCUUGCAAGUUCCCAAACAAAUUGGUUUUGCCAUCUAGUAGCAGUAUCAUAGUCGUUUGCCGACUUUAUAUUUUGGUAAUCGCUUUGCAAUUUCCUAUGAUCUUUAAAAAUAGCAUCUGAAAUUCUUGUCAUCUUGUAACUUAAUAGUCUUACAGGGAAAAAAUUGAGACUAACUUUUUUCUUGGAAUACUGAAGCAUUUGGAUUUUAUGUAGUGAAGGAUCUAUAUAUAUUCCAUUUUUGAAUAGCUGCACAAAACUAUUGCAAAUGUACGUAACCACUAAACUCUUAUUGCAAAUGUACGUAACCACUAAACUCUUAGCUCAACAUAUAUUUUUGCAGACACUUUAUAUUAAUCGCCUCUUUGCCUUCAUUACUUUGUACAUGCUACGUCGUGCUGUUGCUAAAGUCUUCUUUUAUUGUCAUGAAUUAAUGCUUGUUCAUCGACACCAAUUGAAAACAUAUUUACUGAAGUGCUUCUCUGUGAUAAUGCUGAAGCGUCGGCAUUUCAUCGUGAUAAUAAAGGCCAUU
RNAcentral lists this long non-coding RNA (1823 nucleotides) under Schizosaccharomyces pombe (fission yeast). Its description in RNAcentral is "Pdc2-Repressed lncRNA, hry1-antisense". Lineage: Eukaryota; Fungi; Ascomycota; Schizosaccharomycetes; Schizosaccharomycetales; Schizosaccharomycetaceae. The record is from RNAcentral.